GGUUUCCCCUCGCGAGGGAGACUGGGAUGACUGCACCCAAUGUAAGAAGCAGGGAGAAAAGCUCAAGUGAAGAGUCUCAACAUACUGAAGGUAAAAUGUGUGUGUGUGUUUUUUUUUUUUUUUAAAUCAGCUUUUUGGAACGCGAGGAGAAGAAACCGGCUGGAAUGGUGCGGCUAACUCCUAACAGCACUGUGAGAGGUGGGAGGAGAGGCUGGCUCUCACACGGAGGGAGGGACUCGGAGAGCAUGGAGCUUCAUUCACUCUGCUGAACACUCACACACACACACACACACACACACACACACACACACACACAAACACACAUGCUCUGCAAAAGCUGUUCUCAGGCUGAGAGAAAAGAGGGGAGGAUAGGACUGCACGCUCGCUGAUGUUGUCCCAGGUGGGUGACAGACGGGGACAAACAGACACUGAGGAAGGCCAAAGAAGUGUUCAGAGAGGUUCAUCAAACCCUGGAGAGCACCGAGCUUUCAGAUCCCUUGACUUGAUUCCCCCGAACGAAGACGCGCUGACUCGGGUGGAGGCGUAGGGCCGUAGCUCCCAGGACGACCUCCAGGAUGUCCCGGAGGAGGUUCUACAGGCGACCUGGGUGCCCAGGGACAUCACUGAGAUCUUUAGCCCGGGAGGCGAGGGCUCAUCGUGGGCAGAAGAAGCCGGGUAGCUCCCUGGGACAGGCCUUCAGCUGGUUAAAGGGGAACAGGAGGAAGAAGAACCUUAACAAUGGGCUGAACCGAAUCGCUGUUGGUGCGACGGAUGCCAAACUGGGACUUCAGAAUCACGACUCUGCAAAAGCUGGCCCGAAAGGGAACGAAGACCAGAAGAGGUUGACGGUCCACUACCGGACCUCCCAGCACUACCAGGAGAAUGUUUUCAUUGAGGGCAGCAGGCCGCAGUACCUGGAGGACCUGCACACCGAGGCCCAGGAAGGGCUGAAGAUACUGCAGCAGGAAGGUUAGACGCAACGCUAUGAACAUGAAAACACAUGAGUUCAUACUUACUGGCAUAUAUUUGUGUUUUAUAUACUGACGUACGACAAAUGAAAAGUUUACCCACAAUGAUUGCAUCAGGUUAUGGUUGUAGUUUGAGCG
RNAcentral lists this long non-coding RNA (1106 nucleotides) under Cyclopterus lumpus (lumpfish). RNAcentral describes it as "lncRNA (ENSCLMG00005001631.1)". The record is from RNAcentral. Lineage: Eukaryota; Metazoa; Chordata; Actinopteri; Perciformes; Cyclopteridae.